UACAAGUGAGUUAUGGGUUAUGCCAAUAAAAACAUUGUUGUGUUUAUUUUGUUCGUUAAAAGUGCAUUGUAAUCACUUAAAAAUGCUCAGUUGCGGUAAAAAGCUGGAAACAACAAUAGAAACCAGGAGUUUAUGAUUGAAAACACUGCAAUCACGGAAAACAUUGCCCUUAAUGAAGAUGAAAUAGAUAACCUGCUAUUAGAUUCUGGGUUAGAGUAUGUACCUUCUCCUUCAAAUUCAACUCUUGAUGUUUAUUCAGAUGAGAUUACCGAUCGAGAAAAUAAUGAAAAAACGACAACUCCGACAUUAGAAAGCAGUAGCCAAAAGAAAAAAAGAAGCCUCCACCCAACAAAACCCA
This is a long non-coding RNA of Diorhabda carinulata, 358 nucleotides long. RefSeq lists it as uncharacterized. NCBI's taxonomy places the organism in Eukaryota, Metazoa, Arthropoda, Insecta, Coleoptera, Chrysomelidae. The record is from RefSeq and is a predicted model, not a curated record. The transcript is spliced from 3 exons.